Syngnathus acus (greater pipefish) is the source of this 907-nucleotide long non-coding RNA. RefSeq lists it as uncharacterized. Lineage: Eukaryota; Metazoa; Chordata; Actinopteri; Syngnathiformes; Syngnathidae. The transcript is spliced from 4 exons. The record is from RefSeq and is a predicted model, not a curated record.
CUUCAGGCAGGCGGGCGCCCAGCUGAUGGGCCAGCCGUACACGCACGGCACAUGUGUCUUCACGUUCCUCUCCAUGAAGUUGAACAGCGGGUUCCAAAAGGGAUUGCUGAGUCCGGUCGUUGUGGAACCGUGAUACCCACAUGCGUGUUGGCCAUGCUGUGGUACCACCAGAAGAGUCUCGUUGUGACAAAGUAGGCCACCACCACAUCCACGCUGUAGUGCUCGCGUGCCACCAGGAUGCACACCACGCCCACGGCGCUCAGCAACCAGCACAUCAGGUGGUACCACCAGAACGAGCGAGGGGAGUCUGCGGGGAAAGCCCGUCGCACAGCAAAAGAGAAGUGGUGAUGUGCAUACCAGGUACAGGCAGGACGGUGAUGUACAUGGUGAUGCAGCGGUACAAGUACAAGGUCCCCACCAGGAAGAAGUAGCGUCGGCAUACUAUGGACCUGCAACAUAUACAUUAGUAAGCAGACCUCCAACAUCUGGGAGUUCACAGAGGAAUUACAAGAGCGAUGCAGCAUUUCAAAGGUUGAGAUGUUUCCAUUUUAAAAGGUUGUUUGGAUGGCUACUCAUCUGAUCAAUACUAACAACGUAGUUUAUAAUGUAAUAUAAUCUAUACAUCAAUAUUGAUUGUUACACAAUAUGUUUAUGUGGGGACACAAAGUUCAAUUAUGUUCUCAUGUCAUGAUAAAAGGAGCAAUGGGAGAAAUAUGGACUAUUGACCAUAUAGAGACCACAAGGGAAUUCAGUUUUGAUUGAAACGUGGACUGUAGCUACAUUGUUUUGAUUUAUAUGAUAACGGGAAAGGUUCUUAUAUUCGCAUUCAUAAUUUGCAUUUCAAUUUGAUUCGUAAAUUUUCAUUCAGCCCAAAUAUUAGAAAAUGUUCACACAAGCAUGGGGAGAA